Molecule: long non-coding RNA, 1107 nt
Organism: Heterocephalus glaber (naked mole-rat)
Lineage: Eukaryota; Metazoa; Chordata; Mammalia; Rodentia; Bathyergidae
Source: Ensembl
GGAAUAGUUGAUAGACGAAGCAGGGAAAAAUCACCCUCCCUGUUCCUUACACAAACACUGUGUGCUUGUGCUAAUCUGGCAAUCCAUCUUACAAUCACCAAACAGUACAGAGCAAGGAAGCAAUUCACACCGAAAUAGUGCUCCUCAGAGCUUUUCAUAGCUUGAUGCCUAUUGCAGCUGCUUAUAUUGUACCAGCAGCAGGUGGAAUAAAAAUCCUGUCAGUGGAUGUGAAUCUCCUAUUGUGAUCCCUGAAGUUCCGCUGAGCUCAAGACAGAUGGACACCCUGCAGCAGCUGCACAAAAUGGCUCUCAGAUCUGACCCGCAUACAAAGCAGAGAGCAUGAGAGUGCUCCAAAGAGAGCUGGCAGCCUCUUGACGUCCGUAAAAUACAAGGCUGGCUCUGGCUUUGACCCUCGCACAUCCCCUAAAACAUGGUAAAGGAAUAGAGAAGUGCUGCACUGCAUUCUUGGAAUUAUUCCAGUCAAUUUGAAUAUAUGACCAAUAUUUGAAUGUAAGACCAUUUAUCAGCUAUUCUGUGUUAUCUGAUAAUACGCUAUCAUCCUUCCAACCUCAAAGACCAGGAGACUAAAUGGUUCAAUAGUGUUUUUUCUUUUCUGUGGCAUUUCCAGGUGACAUAUCUUAUAGUGAGAUAAAAAUAAGGGUAAUACUGUUAGACUGUCUCUUUUCUAGCUGCACAAAAAUAUCCCAUCCUGCCCAUGUGGGACGUGGAUGGCAGGAAACUGACCCGCCUGGCGAGGAGAGAUGGUUGCCUCCAGGAAGGAGUCAAGAGGCCAAACACUGGACACAGGGUGAGGAGUGAGUGCUUGCCAACUCUGGAAAGGAGUCCUAUGCCUGGAUCUUGUCCCAUUGUGCUGGCUGAGCACCACAGGGGACUUUCAAGUGGCACAAAUUCUCGGCUGCACACGGUACCUAAGCCACAGACUGAAAAAUUAUGCAAGCAGGGUCCAGUGCUAAGAAACAGACUAGUGGGACCAAAGGAAGUAGAAUCAAGGUCCUUGCACAAGUAAACUUGGUUUGUGAAUGGGAGAUACAGGAAAAUGUGAAACAGAGAAGACAGAAAACUGACCAGGCAAACUCUCCUGCUCCC